This 121-nucleotide ribosomal RNA is filed under the name Ipomoea nil (Japanese morning glory). The record is from RNAcentral. Lineage: Eukaryota; Viridiplantae; Streptophyta; Magnoliopsida; Solanales; Convolvulaceae.
GGAUGCGAUCAUACCAGCACUAAUGCCACCGGAUCCCAUCAGAACUCCGAAGUUAAGCGUGCUUUGGGCGAGAGUAGUACUAGGAUGGGUGACCCCCUGGGAAGUCCUCGUGUUGCAUCCC